UUCUGGUCUUCGAUUAAAUGUAACAGUUUGCAGCGAUAUUUCAAUCAGACUGGGUGAUACGACUUCACAGUAUAUCUUAGCUAGUUACUAACGCGGUUGUCUUUCAUACCAGUAAGAUCGUCUUCAAGAACAAAUGGACAUCACUGCCAGAACUCCUCCCGCGAAAAAGUAACUUUUACCAAACUUACCUAAUGAGGAAAUCUUUCCGUACCAGUUUUACUAACAAACGGUUUUCGGAUUAUCUGCGGGUCUACCCUUUUACCUGGGGUAGAACAAAGGACAAGCGUAUCUACGGAGGAAAAUCACUCUUCAAACGAAUUGGAGAAAGUUACAGACGUGACACGUUCAUCCCUUUGAAUAUUUCGGUUUCGGAAAGG
Long non-coding RNA from Octopus sinensis (East Asian common octopus), 377 nucleotides. RefSeq lists it as uncharacterized. The transcript has 3 exons. NCBI's taxonomy places the organism in Eukaryota, Metazoa, Mollusca, Cephalopoda, Octopoda, Octopodidae. The record is from RefSeq and is a predicted model, not a curated record.